Molecule: non-coding RNA, 72 nt
Organism: Trichonephila clavipes
Lineage: Eukaryota; Metazoa; Arthropoda; Arachnida; Araneae; Nephilidae
Source: the annotation of a GenBank genome assembly
UCCCAGUAGCAUAACGGAUAGCGCGUUGGACUUUUAAUCCAAAGGUCGUGGGUUCAAAUCCUAACUGGAAAG